This 339-nucleotide ribosomal RNA is filed under the name bacterium enrichment culture clone ALO1_GLFRUDD03FR4B4. Its description in RNAcentral is "bacterial SSU rRNA". It matches the Rfam family "Bacterial small subunit ribosomal RNA", at positions 9 to 346 of the family's 1533-position model. The record is from RNAcentral.
GAGUUUGAUCAUGGCUCAGAUUGAACGCUGGCGGCAUGCCUUACACAUGCAAGUCGAACGGCAGCACGGGAGCUUGCUCCUGGGUGGCGAGUGGCGAACGGGUGAGUAAUGCAUCGGAACGUAUCCUGGAGUGGGGGAUAACGUAGCGAAAGUUACGCUAAUACCGUCAUAUUCUGUGAGCAGGAAAGCGGGGGACCUUCGGGCCUCGCGCUCUUGGAGCGGCCGAUGUCGGAUUAGCUAGUUGGUGAGGUAAAGGCUCACCAAGGCGACGAUCCGUAGCAGGUCUGAGAGGAUGAUCUGCCACACUGGAACUGAGACACGGUCCAGACUCCUACGGGA